AUGGCGACGGCGUUCAAGGCGUUCGUGAACAGCCCCGUCGGCCCCAAGACCACCCACUUCUGGGGCCCCGUCGCUAACUGGGGCUUCGUCCUCGCGGGUUUGGUUGACUUGAACAAGCCUCCUGAGAUGAUAUCUGGCAAUAUGACAGCCGCCAUGUGUGUGUAUUCUGGGCUCUUUAUGAGGUUCGCGUGGAUGGUACAGCCCCGGAACUACUUGCUUCUGGCAUGCCAUGCCUCCAACGAAACCGUUCAGCUCUAUCAUUUAUCUCGCUGUGCUAGGGCUCAGGGGUAUCUGGAUUCCAAGAAAGAGCCGGAGGCCCAACAGUAA
Molecule: ribosomal RNA, 327 nt
Filed under: Triticum aestivum (bread wheat)
Lineage: Eukaryota; Viridiplantae; Streptophyta; Magnoliopsida; Poales; Poaceae
Description: partial small subunit ribosomal RNA
Source: RNAcentral